AGGACGAACGCUGGCGGCGUGCUUAACACAUGCAAGUGGAGCGACGAACCAGGCUUCGGCCUGGGGCAGAGCCGCGAACGGGUGAGUAGCACGUGGGUAACGUGCCCCGAUGACUGGGACAACCCGGGGAAACCCGGGCUAAUACCGGAUAUGCCCCCCUCACGCGAGUGAGGUGUGUAAAGGAAGCUUCGGCCUCCGCAUCGGGAUCGGCCCGCGGCCCAUUAGCUUGUUGGUGAGGUAACGCUCACCAAGGCUUCGAUGGGUAGCUGGUCUGAGAGGACGAUCAGCCACACUGGGACUGAGACACGGCCCAGACUCCUACGGGAGCAGCAGUGGGAAUCUUGCGCAAUGCGCGAAAGCGUGACGCAGCAACGCCGCGGUGGGGGAAGAAGGCCGUUCGGGUUACGUAAACCCCUUUCGAGUUGGGACGAAGGUCGGCGGUGAAGUACGCCGUUCCGACUGACGUACCUUCAACAAGAACGCCCCGGACUAACCACGCG
RNAcentral lists this ribosomal RNA (500 nucleotides) under uncultured soil bacterium. Its description in RNAcentral is "bacterial SSU rRNA". It matches the Rfam family "Bacterial small subunit ribosomal RNA", at positions 26 to 507 of the family's 1533-position model. The record is from RNAcentral.